This 251-nucleotide ribosomal RNA is filed under the name uncultured bacterium. RNAcentral's name for it is "partial 16S ribosomal RNA". It matches the Rfam family "Bacterial small subunit ribosomal RNA", at positions 524 to 776 of the family's 1533-position model. The record is from RNAcentral.
UACGAAGGGGGCUAGCGUUGCUCGGAAUCACUGGGCGUAAAGGGUGCGUAGGCGGGUUUUAAGUCAGGGUGAAAUCCUGGAGCUCAACUCCAGAACUGCCUUUGAUACUGAAGAUCUUGAGUUCGGGAGAGGUGAGUGGAACUGCGAGUGUAGAGGUGAAAUUCGUAGAUAUUCGCAAGAACACCAGUGGCGAAGGCGGCUCACUGGCCCGAUACUGACGCUGAGGCACGAAAGCGUGGGGAGCAAACAGG